This 393-nucleotide long non-coding RNA is filed under the name Elaeis guineensis (African oil palm). RNAcentral describes it as "long non-coding RNA (EGUI_LNC008757)". Lineage: Eukaryota; Viridiplantae; Streptophyta; Magnoliopsida; Arecales; Arecaceae. The record is from RNAcentral.
UCUAGAUUUUUUUCUCUCUCUUUAUGGAAUUUAUCUCUCUAGUAUUUUUCUCUCUCUCUGAUUUCAUCACGGACCCUAGGAUAAAAUUGAGAUGAAAAUAAGAUGAUUUGAGAUUGCUCCGAAAUUCGUGCGAUAGAUCUGAUCUCAGUUCGAUUCUAUUUGAAAUUUGUAACACUUGAUUUAUGUUAAGUCACCCUGAUAGGACCUCUGAUGAUCUUGACCAUGAUUGCCUCAUCGGAAGAAUACGAAGAUUUCUCUCUCCACUUUCUCUCUCUAUUUUCUCUCUCUAAAAUUUUCUCUCUCUUCAUGGAUUUUCUCUCUCUAAAAGUCUUAUGGAUCAGUGGAGGAUCUAGAUACUUAGAUAAAUCUUAAUUUUGAUUAAUCCUAAGAGAG